CCCUUAGAUGUCCUGGGCUGCACGCGCGCUACACUGGAAGUUACGGAUUGAGAUACUACCUUGUCCGAAAUGGUCCGGGUAAUCACCUAAAAGCUUGUCAUAAUUGGAAUGGAUUAUUGUAACUAGUAAUCCUGAACGAGGAAUUCCUAGUAAGUCCCAGUCAACAGCUGGUACUGAUUACGUCCCUGCCCUUUGUACACAUCGCCCGUCGCUACUACUGAUUGGACGUUUAAGCAAGAUUUUUAAACACUGACAGUGUGUAGUUCACGCUAUACUACAGUGAGAAGAAGAAGAUCGAGCUUACUUGUCUAGAGGAAGUAAAAGUCGUAACA
RNAcentral lists this ribosomal RNA (332 nucleotides) under uncultured eukaryote. Its description in RNAcentral is "partial 18S ribosomal RNA". It matches the Rfam family "Eukaryotic small subunit ribosomal RNA", at positions 1470 to 1796 of the family's 1831-position model. The record is from RNAcentral.